AUGCUAGCCCUUCACGCGAUUGGUCUUCCUUGGUUGAGUCGCCGCCCUCGCUGCCACAUCGUGGACGCCCCGAGGCAGGUGGUCAACUUCGGGUCUGGUCCCACCAAGCUGCCUCACUCAGUAUUGUUAGAGAUAAAAAAGGAAUUAUUGGACUACAAAGGAGUUGGCAUUAGUGUUCUUGAAAUGAAUCACAGGUCAUCAGAUUUUGCCAAGAUUAUUAACAAUACAGAGAAUCUUGUGCGGGAAUUGCUAGCCGUUCCAGACGACUGUAAGGUGAUUUUUGUGCAAGGAGGUGGGUCCGGCCAGUUCGGUGCUGUCCCCUUAAAACUGAUUGGCUUGAAAGCAGGAAGGUGUGCUGACUAUGUGGUGACAGGAGCUUGGUCACCUAAGGGGUGCAGAAGCAGCCAAGAAGUUUGAGACUAUAAAUAUCGUUCACCCUAAACUUGGGAGUUACACAAAAAUUCCAGAUCCAUGCACCUGGAACCUCAAUUCGGAUGCUUCUUACGUGUAUUACUGAGCAAAUGAGACGGUGCAUGGUGCGGAGUUUAACUUUAUACCCUAUGUCAAGGGAGCAGUGCUGGUUUGUGACAUGUCCUCAAACUUCCUGUCUGAGCCAGUGGAUGUUUCCAAGAUUGGUGUGAUUUUUGCAGGUGCUCAGAAGAAUGUUGGUUUCAGCUGGGGUCACCGUGGUGAAUGUCUGUGAUGACCUGCUGGGGUUUGCCCUCUGAGAGUGUCCCCCAGUCUUGGAAUACGAGGUACAGGCUGGAAACAGCUCCUUGUACAACACGCCUCCAUGUUUCAGCAUCUACGUCAUGGUCUUGGUCCUAGAGAGGAUUAAAAACAGUAGAGGUGCUGCAGCCAUGGAGAAGCUUAGCUCCAUCAAAUCUCAAAUGAUUUAUGAGAUUACUGAUAAUUCUCAAGGAUUCUACGUAUGUCCAGUGGAGCCCCAAAGUAGAAGCAAGAUGAAUAUUCCAUCCCUCACUGGCAAUACCAAAGGAGAUGAUGCUUUAGAAAAAACAUUUCUUGAUAAAGCUCUUGAACUCAAUAUGUUGUCCUUGAAAGGGCAUAGGUCUGUGGGACGCAUCCGGGCCUCUCUGUAUAAUGCUGUCACGAUUGAAGAUGUUCAGAAGCUGGCCGCCUUCAUGAAAAAUUUUUUGGAGAUGCAUCAGCUAUGAACACAUCCUAACCAGGAUAUAUUCUGUUCUUGAACAUACAAAGUUUAAAGCAACCUGGGGAUGGCUACAAAAAGUUAACAAAGUCUUUUUCUCAAAUGAAUAUGUUUAUUGUAGAUUCUUCUUUUUUGAAAGAACAACAGCAAAAGAUCUACAGCUCUGUAAAGCUGGUGGGACCUGAUGUUCACCUUAAUUCUGACUUGAACUGGAAACAUUUUUAAAAAUCUUCUCGUUGCUUUUCUAACAAAUUCUCGCUUAUUUUGCCUUUGUUACUACUUUUUCUAGUUAGAUUCCAAAUUUGCUUGUAGACUUAAUAAUGCAAGUUGCAAUUAAUUAUUUCU
RNA transcript from Mandrillus leucophaeus (drill), 1513 nucleotides. It is a transcript of the gene named phosphoserine aminotransferase pseudogene, with no coding region annotated. The record is from RefSeq and is a predicted model, not a curated record. The transcript has a single exon. NCBI's taxonomy places the organism in Eukaryota, Metazoa, Chordata, Mammalia, Primates, Cercopithecidae.